Molecule: ribosomal RNA, 494 nt
Filed under: uncultured bacterium
Lineage: Bacteria
Description: partial 16S ribosomal RNA
Rfam family: Bacterial small subunit ribosomal RNA
Source: RNAcentral
GACGAACGCUGGCGGCGUGCUUAACACAUGCAAGUCGAACGGAAAGGCCUGCUUUCCCUUGUGGAUUGCGGGUACUCGAGUGGCGAACGGGUGAGUAACACGUGAGUGAUCUGCCCCCAACUUGGGUAUAAGCCUGGGAAACUGGGUCUAAUUCCCGAUAGGACUGCAGGGUGGUGCCUGUGGUGGAAAACGAUUUUCUAGUGGUUGGGGAUGAGCUCGCGGCCUAUCAGCUUGUUGGUGGGGUAAUGGCCUACCAAGGCGGCGACGGGUAGCCGGCCUGGGAGGGUGGACGGCCACAUUGGGACUGAGAUACGGCCCAGACUCCUACGGGAGGCAGCAGUGGGGAAUAUUGCACAAUGGGCGGAAGCCUGAUGCAGCGACGCCGCGUGGGGGAUGCCGGCCUUCGGGUUGUAAACUCCUUUCGACCGCGAGGAAGCCACCUGGUUGGAAGGGUGGUGACGGUAGUGGUAGAAGAAGCACCGGCUAACUACGUG